CCCAGAAUGCCCUGCGGGGGGGAACGCACUGUAAACACAACAGUUGUUAUCUAGAGCUCACUAGUAGCAACUAGCUGCUAUCUGACGUUACCAGGCCUUACUAUUCCUGGACCAUGUAGCUAAGUGGAUGCCGGUUAGAAGCCAAUUACUAGAGAUGGAUGCCUUUUUGGGAUCUCUGCAAGACCAUGACGUGAGCUCUGUCCUCACGUCCUGUGAGCCCGAGCUGCAGGAGCUGAUGAGACAAAUAGACAUCAUGGUGAACCAUAAGAGGACGGAGUGGGAGGCAGAGAUCCAUGCCAUGGAGCUGCGUCUGCACAGCGGAGAAGAGGAGCUCCUCUCAGCCAGAAACCUCAUAGACCAAAGGAACUCGGAGGUACGGUUGUGCAUAGAUAUUAUUG
Oncorhynchus nerka (sockeye salmon) is the source of this 398-nucleotide long non-coding RNA. RefSeq lists it as uncharacterized. The record is from RefSeq and is a predicted model, not a curated record. NCBI's taxonomy places the organism in Eukaryota, Metazoa, Chordata, Actinopteri, Salmoniformes, Salmonidae. The transcript is spliced from 3 exons.